UAAUGAAUGUCUCUCAUGGGGCAUCGCCAAUGAGAAGGUUUUACUUGAUCGUAGUGCUUUGGAGGUUUACUAUGAUUUCAUGAAGAACUUUAAAGACAAGUUUAAGGUGUUUUUUUGAACAAAAAACAUAUCCGCUAUUGAGAUCGGUCUAGGCCCAUCUGGGGAUCUACCAUAUCCGUCUUGUAAUUCGGAGCAUGGUUGGGUUUAUCCAGGUGUUGGUGCAUUCUAG
This 229-nucleotide long non-coding RNA is filed under the name Helianthus annuus (common sunflower). RNAcentral's name for it is "hypothetical non coding rna". Lineage: Eukaryota; Viridiplantae; Streptophyta; Magnoliopsida; Asterales; Asteraceae. The record is from RNAcentral.